RNAcentral lists this ribosomal RNA (776 nucleotides) under uncultured Neocallimastigales. RNAcentral's name for it is "partial large subunit ribosomal RNA". It matches the Rfam family "Eukaryotic large subunit ribosomal RNA", at positions 24 to 645 of the family's 3401-position model. The record is from RNAcentral. Lineage: Eukaryota; Fungi; Neocallimastigomycota; Neocallimastigomycetes; Neocallimastigales.
UAUCUCUGUAGAGUCUGCAUAUCAAUAAGCGGAGGAAAAGAAACUAACUAGGAUUCCCUCAGUAACGGCGAGUGAAGCGGGAAGAGCUCAAAUUUGAAAUCUUCAAGGUUCUACCUUGACGAAUUGUAGUUUAAAGAAGUGUUUUCUGUUGGAGUUUUGGUAAAAGUUCUUUGGAAUAGGACAUCAUAGAGGGUGAGAGUCCCGUAUUUGACCAUUAUUUCCAGCUUUGUGAUACACUUUCAAAGAGUCGGAUUGUUUGGGAAUGCAGUCCAAAAUGGGUGGUAAAUUUCAUCUAAAGCUAAAUACUUGGCGAGAGACCGAUAGCGAACAAGUACCGUGAGGGAAAGAUGAAAAGAACUUUGAAAAGAGAGUUAAACAGUACGUGAAAUUGUCAAAAGGGAAGCGUUUGACACCAGUGUUGUUUUCUCGAAAAUCAAUUAAAAAAGGCAGGAUUUUGUGUUGUAUUGACUUUAUCAGCUUACUGCGACUCUUUUCUUGUCUUUUUUAAUGCACUUUUCGUUUAACAAGUCAACAUCAAUUUCUUUUGUUGUAAAAGAGUCAUUGGAAGGUGGCUUUCACUUCGGUGAAAGUGUUUAUAGCCUUUGGCUUCUGCAAUCGGAGAGAUUGAGGUCUGCAGCGUAGAUCCUUCGGGGCUAGAUACGUAGAUGCUAAGUUAUAGUUUUUUAUAGACAACUUGUUGACUAUAAUUAAUCAUGUAGCUUACUCGUUUGCGCUAUUUUACCUACGCUUAGGAUGUUGAAGUCAUCGUAUCGCGC